UUGGACCUACGGGGCGCAGCAGUGAGGAAUAUUGGUCAAUGGGCGAGAGCCUGAACCAGCCAAGUCGCGUGAGGGAAGACGGUCCUAUGGAUUGUAAACCUCUUUUGUCGGGGAGCAAAAAGGCCUCGUGAGGCCACAAGUGAGAGUACCCGAAGAAAAAGCAUCGGCUAACUCCGUGCCAGCAGCCGCGGUAAUACGGAGGAUGCGAGCGUUAUCCGGAUUUAUUGGGGUUAAAGGUGGCGUAGGCGGACUGGAAAGUCAGCGGUAAAAUCGAGAGGCUAAAC
RNAcentral lists this ribosomal RNA (284 nucleotides) under uncultured bacterium. Its description in RNAcentral is "partial 16S ribosomal RNA". It matches the Rfam family "Bacterial small subunit ribosomal RNA", at positions 333 to 613 of the family's 1533-position model. The record is from RNAcentral.